RNAcentral lists this ribosomal RNA (403 nucleotides) under uncultured Hyphomicrobiales bacterium. Its description in RNAcentral is "uncultured Rhizobiales bacterium partial 16S ribosomal RNA". It matches the Rfam family "Bacterial small subunit ribosomal RNA", at positions 355 to 774 of the family's 1533-position model. Lineage: Bacteria; Pseudomonadati; Pseudomonadota; Alphaproteobacteria; Hyphomicrobiales. The record is from RNAcentral.
UGGGGAAUAUUGGACAAUGGGCGCAAGCCUGAUCCAGCCAUGCCGCGUGGGUGAUGAAGGCCCUAGGGUUGUAAAGCCCUUUCGGCGGGGAAGAUAAUGACGGUACCCGCAGAAGAAGCCCCGGCCAACUUCGUGCCAGCAGCCGCGGUAAUACGAAGGGGGCUAGCGUUGCUCGGAAUCACUGGGCGUAAAGCGCACGUAGGCGGGCACUUAAGUCGGGGGUGAAAUCCUGGAGCUCAACUCCAGAACUGCCUUCGAUACUGAGUGUCUUCGAGUCCGGGAGAGGUGAGUGGAACUCCGAGUGUAGAGGUGAAAUUCGUAGAUAUUCGGAAGAACACCAGUGGCGAAGGCGGCUCACUGGCCCGGUACUGACGCUGAGGUGCGAAAGCGUGGGGAGCAAACA